UACAGAGACCUCAAGCGUUAUCCGGAUUUAUUGGGCGUAAAGCGCAGGUAGGCGGUUUGAUUAGUCAGAUGUCAAAGACUGGGGCUCAACCCCAGGAAGGCAUUUGAAACGGUCAAACUAGAGAAUGUGAGAGAUUGCUGGAAUUCAUGGUGUAGUAGUGAAAUGCGUUGAUAUCAUGAGGAACACUCAAGGCGAAGGCAAGCAAUUGGCACAUUUCUGACGCUGAGGUGCGAAAGCGUGGGGAGCGAAUGGG
Molecule: ribosomal RNA, 253 nt
Filed under: uncultured bacterium
Lineage: Bacteria
Description: partial 16S ribosomal RNA
Rfam family: Bacterial small subunit ribosomal RNA
Source: RNAcentral